Molecule: long non-coding RNA, 764 nt
Filed under: Homo sapiens (human)
Lineage: Eukaryota; Metazoa; Chordata; Mammalia; Primates; Hominidae
Description: non-protein coding lnc-IFIT2-1:9
Source: RNAcentral
CCCUCCAGCAGGAAACCAGUGUAGUUAUGUUGUUUGUACUUGCCAGGAUACACUUCCAUUUCAUAUUUGCAAGUACACAUAAAGGUAUCCUUCAUCAGCAGCACAGUGCUUCCUUUCCUCUGAAUCUGCCAUCAGCUCAGGCAGAUUUCUAAGCAGCAAAUCAGCCUUUGCCAGAACACUGCAGGACACCAGUGCAGCGCCCAGCCUGCGACCAUGAGCCUGUUUGGUGGUCUCUUCACAUGGACGCGAGUGACAUUUGGUGCCGUGACUCGGAUCGGGGAACCUCCCUUGGGAGAUCAAUCCCCUGUCCUCCUGCUCUUUGUUCCAAGAGAAAGAUCCACCUACGACCUCUGCUCCUCAGACCAACCAGCCCAAGGAACAUCUCACCAAUUUUAAAUCGGAUCUUCUGGGCUUAGUGGCUGAAGACUGACACUGCCCGAUCACCUGAGAAGCCUCCUGGACCAUCACAGAUGCUUUAGGCUCUAGGGGAUGGUAGAGUCACAGGAUGGAAGAACUCUGUGUCCUUGAAUCAUUGCAUGGAAGAGAACUGGAAGUUGCCCAGGAACACCAGCCUUGGACAGUUAUGUGAACAAGAAAUAAACUUCUUUUACAGUGUCAUUUAUGUUUUUGAGCAUCUUUGUUACAGCGGCUAGGUGUAUACUAAUUCAGGGAUUCUGUGAUAGCAAUAUUUCUUCUUCUUUUGAGUAGGUUUCCAAAACUUGAUUUUCCACAAUUCUGAAAUAUUUUGGUUCUGGGAUAAACUU